GUGGAAGUGAUCUAUUCAUGGUGCAAGCCACAAAUAGAUAGGCAAAUUCAUUCAUUCAUUUACCGCUUAAUUCAUUCAAGAUUUGAAGUCGAGCAUUACCUUCCAUCAAAAUCAGAUUACUUCAAGUGUUACAAACCAUCGACAAUUUCAUCAUACAAGCCAAGUACAUCACCUAUUCUAUCACAACAUCACCAUCACAAAGUUUCCAAAAGUCAUGGCCAUUUACACCAUAAAUCAUUACAUCAUUUCAAGUAUUUUCCAAGGUUACAUUCCUAUCAUACUUCAAUACAUCAAAAAAAUUACAAGAAAGCAUUAAAUCUAAACCUAAUUGCCUAA
This is a non-coding RNA of Vicia faba (fava bean), 336 nucleotides long. Lineage: Eukaryota; Viridiplantae; Streptophyta; Magnoliopsida; Fabales; Fabaceae. The record is from the annotation of a GenBank genome assembly.